UGGGGAAUUUUGGACAAUGGGCGAAAGCCUGAUCCAGCAAUGCCGCGUGUGUGAAGAAGGCCUUCGGGUUGUAAAGCACUUUUGUCCGGAAAGAAAUCCUUGGCUCUAAUACAGUCGGGGGAUGACGGUACCGGAAGAAUAAGCACCGGCUAACUGCGUGCCAGCAGCCGCGGUAAUACGUAGGGUGCAAGCGUUAAUCGGAAUUACUGGGCGUAAAGCGUGCGCAGGCGGUUUGCUAAGACCGAUGUGAAAUCCCCGGGCUCAACCUGGGAACUGCAUUGGUGACUGGCAGGCUAGAGUAUGGCAGAGGGGGGUAGAAUUCCACGUGUAGCAGUGAAAUGCGUAGAGAUGUGAGGAAUACCGAUGGCGAAGGCAGCCCCCUGGGCCAAUACUGACGCUCAUGCACGAAAGCGUGGGGAGCAAACAGGAUUAGAUACCCUGGUAGUCCACGCCCUAAACGAUGUCAACUAGUUGUUGGGGAUUCAUUUCCUUAGUAACGUAGCUAACGCGUGAAGUUGAUCGCCUGGGGAGUACGGUCGCAAGAUUAAAACUCAAAGGAAUUGACGGGGUCAUAGCUGUUUCCU
RNAcentral lists this ribosomal RNA (584 nucleotides) under uncultured bacterium. RNAcentral's name for it is "partial 16S ribosomal RNA". It matches the Rfam family "Bacterial small subunit ribosomal RNA", at positions 355 to 1375 of the family's 1533-position model. The record is from RNAcentral.